This 265-nucleotide ribosomal RNA is filed under the name uncultured archaeon. RNAcentral's name for it is "partial 16S ribosomal RNA". It matches the Rfam family "Archaeal small subunit ribosomal RNA", at positions 717 to 982 of the family's 1478-position model. The record is from RNAcentral.
ACACGACUACAUUAGAUACCCCUGUAGUCCUAGCCGUAAACGAUACUCGCUAGGUGUCGGCCACGGUGCGACCGUUGUCGGUGCCGUAGGGAAGCCGUGAAGCGAGCCACCUGGGAAGUACGGCCGCAAGGCUGAAACUUAAAGGAAUUGGCGGGGGAGCACAACAACGGGUGGAGCUUGCGGUUUAAUUGGAUUCAACGCCGGAAAUCUUACCGGGACCGACAGCAACAUGAAGGCCAAGCUGAAGACUUUGCCGGAUUGGCUG